ACCAAAGUGGUGUAGUGGUUUGGGUGUUGGACUAUGACUCUGGAGACCAGGGUUCGAAUCCCCACUUGGCCA
Non-coding RNA from Phrynosoma platyrhinos (Desert horned lizard), 72 nucleotides. Lineage: Eukaryota; Metazoa; Chordata; Lepidosauria; Squamata; Phrynosomatidae. The record is from the annotation of a GenBank genome assembly.